This 499-nucleotide ribosomal RNA is filed under the name uncultured soil bacterium. RNAcentral describes it as "bacterial SSU rRNA". It matches the Rfam family "Bacterial small subunit ribosomal RNA", at positions 26 to 518 of the family's 1533-position model. The record is from RNAcentral.
AGGACGAACGCUGGCGGCGUGCCUAACACAUGCAAGUCGAACGGGACCAGGGGCAACUCUGGUUCAGUGGCGGACGGGUGCGUAACACGUGAGGAACAUGACCUUCGGCGGGGGAUAGCCGGCCCAACGGCCGGGUAAUACCGCGUACGACCACUUUGGGACAUCCCUGGGUGGUGAAAGCAGCAAUGCGCCGAUGGAGUGCCUCGCGGCCUAUCAGCUAGUUGGUGAGGUAACGGCUCACCAAGGCGACGACGGGUAGCUGGUCUGAGAGGACUGGCCAGCCACAUUGGGACUGAGACACGGCCCAGACUCCUACGGAGGCAGCAGUGGGGAAUAUGCGCAAUGGACGAAAGUCUGAGCCAGCGACGCCGCGUGUGGAUGACGGUCGUUCGGAUUCGUAAACCGACUGUACGGGAGGACGAAGUACGCGACGAAGGCGGGUGACCGGUACCUACCGAAACGGAACGCACCGGCUAACGUCCGUAGCCAGCCAGCCGAC